RNAcentral lists this ribosomal RNA (274 nucleotides) under uncultured bacterium. RNAcentral's name for it is "partial 16S ribosomal RNA". It matches the Rfam family "Bacterial small subunit ribosomal RNA", at positions 523 to 796 of the family's 1533-position model. The record is from RNAcentral.
AUACGAAGGUGGCUAGCGUUGUUCGGAAUUACUGGGCGUAAAGCGCGCGUAGGCGGACUGAUCAGUUGGGGGUGAAAUCCCAGGGCUUAACCCUGGAACUGCCUCCAAUACUGUCAGUCUUGAGUUCGGGAGAGGUGAGUGGAAUUCCUAGUGUAGAGGUGAAAUUCGUAGAUAUUAGGAAGAACACCAGUGGCGAAGGCGGCUCACUGGCCCGAUACUGACGCUGAGGCGCGAAAGCGUGGGGAGCAAACAGGAUUAGAUACCCUAGUAGUCC